This 74-nucleotide transfer RNA is filed under the name Candidatus Brocadiia bacterium. RNAcentral's name for it is "tRNA-Arg". It matches the Rfam family "tRNA". From Rfam's summary of the family: Transfer RNA (tRNA) molecules are approximately 80 nucleotides in length. The record is from RNAcentral. Lineage: Bacteria; Pseudomonadati; Planctomycetota; Candidatus Brocadiia.
GUGCCUGUAGCUCAGAUGGAUAGAGUGGCAGCCUCCGAAGCUGUAGGUCUUGGGUUCGAAUCCCAACAGGCACG